RNAcentral lists this ribosomal RNA (979 nucleotides) under uncultured organism. Its description in RNAcentral is "bacterial SSU rRNA". It matches the Rfam family "Bacterial small subunit ribosomal RNA", at positions 496 to 1490 of the family's 1533-position model. The record is from RNAcentral.
GCUAACUACGUGCCAGCAGCAGCGGUAAUACGUAGGCGCCAAGCGUUAUCCGGAAUUACUGGGCGUAAAGCGUCCGUAGGCGGCUAAAUUAGUCGGGUGUUAAAUUUUCGUGCCUAACGCGAAUUACGUACUCGAAACUGUUCAGCUACGAGUCUGAAAGAGGUCACUGGAAUUCCUACUGGAGGGGUAAAAUCCGUAGAUAGUAGGAGGAACACCAAAAGCGAAGGCAGGUGGCUGGUUCAGUACUGACGCUCAGGGACGAAAGCGUGGGGAGCAAACAGGAUUAGAUACCCUGGUAGUCCACGCCGUAAACGAUGAGUGCUAGGCGUUGAAGAGUUGUUUCGACCCUCUUCAGUGUCCAAAGUUAACACGUUAAGCACUCCGCCUGGGGAGUACGGCCGCAAGGCUAAAACUCAAAGGAAUAGACGGGGGCCCGCACAAGCGGUGGAGCAUGGGGCUUAAUUCGAUAAUAAGCGAGGAACCUCACCUAGGCUUGACAUCUCGAGAAAGCUCUGGAAACAGAGCCGUGCCUUUUGGAACUCGAUGACAGGCGCUGCAUGGUUGUCGUCAGCUCGUGCCCUGAGGUGUUCGGUUAAGUCCGUAAACGAGCGCAACCCUCGUCGUGUGUUGUAUUUUUCACGCGAGACUGCCGGCCCUAAGCCGGAGGAAGGCGAGGAUGACGUCAAAUCAGCAUGGCCCUUAUGCCUAGGGCGACACCCGUGCUACAAUGGGGAGUACAAAGGGUAGCGAAAGCGCAAGCUGGAGCCGAUCCUAAAAACUUCCCCCAGUUCGGAUUGAGGGCUGCAAUUCGCCCUCAUGAAGUUGGAAUCGCUAGUAACCGUGGAUCAGCCAUGUCACGGUGAAUAUGUUCCCGGGCAUUGUACUCACCGCCCGUCACGUCAUGGAAGAUGGGAGCACCCAAAGCACCCUUGGUAAUAGAGGGUACCACGGUGAAACCAUUGACUGGGACGAAGUCGUA